Long non-coding RNA from Pangasianodon hypophthalmus (striped catfish), 466 nucleotides. RefSeq lists it as uncharacterized. The transcript has 3 exons. The record is from RefSeq and is a predicted model, not a curated record. NCBI's taxonomy places the organism in Eukaryota, Metazoa, Chordata, Actinopteri, Siluriformes, Pangasiidae.
UUUGACUGCAACUGUAUAUAUAUAUAUAUAUAGCUGGAAACAGUGCUGGUGAGUUUCAACUGCAUUUGGCUAUGUGUGUGUGUGUGUGUGUGUGUAUGUGUAUGUGUGUUUAGGGGAUGGAAAGAAAUCAGCAUAAGAGCCCAGCAUGUUGUUGUAGACUAUUUUUCCCUAACAAUAUUUAAUUGUUUUUACACAGAUGUUGAGUCUCUCAUCCGCUUAUGUGUUACACUGCCAAUAAUACUGGGUGUUCCGAUAACUGUUAUCGUGGUAUAUUUACGGAAAAAGUUUAAAACUUCACCAAGAUCUCAGGCCAUGGAACUGCAAAUAAUGCAACAGUGAACAAUGAAACUCCUGAUAUGAACUUUGAGGCAUGAGAGCAGCACAGGUGUCCACAAACUUUUGGCCAUAUAGUGCAUUUAUCUUUAUUCAUGUCCAAGGUUCUUUUGGUGUAACACAUGGAAAAGUG